UACGUAGGUGGCAAGCGUUGUCCGGAUUUAUUGGGUUUAAAGGGUGCGUAGGCGGCUUUGUAAGUCAGUGGUGAAAUAUGGCAGCUCAACUGUCAGGGUGCCAUUGAUACUGCGGAGCUUGAGUACAGAUGAGGUAGGCGGAAUUGACGGUGUAGCGGUGAAAUGCUUAGAUAUCGUCAAGAACACCGAUAGCGAAGGCAGCUUACUAGGCUGUAACUGACACUGAGGCACGAAAGUGUGGGGAUCAAACAGG
This 253-nucleotide ribosomal RNA is filed under the name uncultured bacterium. Its description in RNAcentral is "partial 16S ribosomal RNA". It matches the Rfam family "Bacterial small subunit ribosomal RNA", at positions 524 to 776 of the family's 1533-position model. The record is from RNAcentral.